UACGGGGGGGGCAAGCGUUGUUCGGAAUUACUGGGCGUAAAGGGCUCGUAGGUGGCCAACUAAGUCAGACGUGAAAUCCCUCGGCUUAACCGGGGAACUGCGUCUGAUACUGGAUGGCCUGAGUUCGGGAGAGGGAUGCGGAAUUCCAGGUGUAGCGGUGAAAUGCGUAGAUAUCUGGAGGAACACCGGUGGCGAAGGCGGCAUCCUGGACCGACACUGACACUGAGGAGCGAAAGCCAGGGGAGCAAACGGG
This 253-nucleotide ribosomal RNA is filed under the name uncultured bacterium. Its description in RNAcentral is "partial 16S ribosomal RNA". It matches the Rfam family "Bacterial small subunit ribosomal RNA", at positions 524 to 776 of the family's 1533-position model. The record is from RNAcentral.